Molecule: long non-coding RNA, 908 nt
Filed under: Pogona vitticeps (central bearded dragon)
Lineage: Eukaryota; Metazoa; Chordata; Lepidosauria; Squamata; Agamidae
Description: lncRNA (ENSPVIG00000023659.1)
Source: RNAcentral
UUAGAGUUUCAGUUAGAGUUAGGAUUUCAGUUAGCCAGGAGUCAGGGACGUUGGUUAGUGAUGAGGUAGGACAGUUAGUCAGGAGUUAGGGAAAGAGUUAAGUAGUUUGAAGAAUUGGUGUGGAAAGAAACACUUGAAAAGAAAUGUAUAAGAGAACUGAAUGUAACUGUUAUAAAGUGAUUGAAACUAAAUACAAAGUAACCAGCAUAUUUCUAAGUUAAAUGAAGUUUAAUGAAUAUCAAAUACAAUACCACCUAGGAUUUCCUUGAUCUUUUAAUAUGUUAAUCUGUUAAUAAACAUGUUAAAUUUGACACGAUUGAUUCUGUGGUCCUAAUUGGUAAUUGAGGAAGGAUUUCCUCUGGUGGCAGCGAAAGUGGAGACAAGACAAAUUGUCAUGCCCGAAGGCAAAUCUAUUUGUUAGGGAGAACAUAUAGAGGAGCUGGGUGUGUGUGACAGGUGUGUUCAUAGAUCCGGUUCGGAAGAAAGACUCUCUUACCACAAUUUUGUGGAGAGCUGAUUUAAUUGUUUGAACCAAUGGUUCAACCAUUCUAUUUGAUUAAAGAUCUCCUUGACUAAAGUAACAAAAGAGGAACACACUUUUUAUUUGCUCCUCAGGCUGCAAUAUGGAUCUGAUGGCAUAGUUUCCAUCUUUCUCUCUUUUCUGCAAAGUUUCCAACUUGAGACCAAGACAAGAAUUACUCCGCAUUUGUGUAUAGUACACGUCAGCUUUCCCUGCUGUCUUCUGUUUGGGGAACGUUGCCCUAUUGGAUUGCUUACUUCCAUUAUCUCCCUUUGCCAUGAUGCCUGAGGAUGAUGGGGAUUGCUGCCAAACACAGUCCAUGCAUUGUCCAUGCUGCAUUUUCUCUUUCUAUGAGCUCGUUUCCUAGGAGGAUCCUUUGCUGAACCAU